GGCUUGUCUAACUUUUUUACAGAAAGACUUUACAGGAGAAGCAGAUGAAGAAAACUGUUCAGUGUAGGUUGGAAGCUUACUUCAAGAAGUCUCCAACACAACCGUCUACCAUUCAUAACCAAGAAGUGAUGUCCAGUCCAGAUUCUCUUGAACCGGAACCCGAACCUGUAGCCUCUUCAGCUCCAUCAGACUCUCAAACGCCUGCAGAUUCCACAUCGUAGGCCUGUUCUACAUCCACAAACAGUUUGCCCAUCCCAGGAAGCAAGCCAACCAAUAGAAUUAAGUAAGAUUUUCUCAUAUGGUGGCUAAGAAGCUGAAACUGUACUUCAAGAUUCCUCCAUCAUUCUUAUUGGUACAAAGCUCAGGACCUUAGUGCCAUUCCUCUCCAUUGCCAUUCAUUUCUAUUAAAAGACAUUACCAUGGCUUUCUUUCUUACAAACCAGCGUUCUUUAAGUACUUAAGAGGUAUAGGGUAGAGCAAUGUUUAAUUCAACAAUCUGAGGGAGCAAAUAAACAAUUUUUACUUAACAUAAAUUUAUUUGCUACAUUUUUAUGUAUUUACAAAUCUACAGUCCACACAGGUUUACUAACAUACAAUCAAUCAGUCAGUUUUCUAUCAUUUAAUUUAUGAUGAUCAUCUUACUUGCACUAGCAUAACAAUACUUGUUCUCUAAAUUAUUGCAUAUAACAUUCUUAUGACAACCCCAUUUUGUGAUAUGCAAGGCUCACAAUAAUACAGAUAAUGCAUAUCGUGACUAACAGGUCACCUAUUAUCUAAUUUCUUCAUCUUAUAUGCAAAUUCACUCACAAACUACUAGUUUCCA
Molecule: long non-coding RNA, 823 nt
Organism: Macrobrachium nipponense
Lineage: Eukaryota; Metazoa; Arthropoda; Malacostraca; Decapoda; Palaemonidae
Exons: 4
Source: RefSeq, a predicted model, not a curated record